GACGAACGCUGGCGGCGUGCCUAAUACAUGCAAGUCGAACGAGAGCAACCGGUGCUUGCACUGGUCAAUCUAGUGGCGAACGGGUGAGUAACACGUGGGUAACCUGCCCAUCAGAGGGGGAUAACAUCCGGAAACGGAUGCUAAAACCGCAUAGGUCUUCGAACCGCAUGGUUUGAAGAGGAAAAGAGGCGCAAGCUUCUUCUGAUGGAUGGACCCGCGGUGCAUUAGCUAGUUGGUGAGGUAACGGCUCACCAAGGCCGUGAUGCAUAGCCGACCUGAGAGGGUGAUCGGCCACAUUGGGACUGAGACACGGCCCAAACUCCUACGGGAGGCAGCAGUAGGGAAUCUUCCGCAAUGGACGCAAGUCUGACGGAGCAACGCCGCGUGAGUGAAGAAGGUUUUCGGAUCGUAAAACUCUGUUGUUAGAGAAGAACAAGUGCUAGAGUAACUGUUAGCGCCUUGACGGUAUCUAACCAGAAAGCCACGGCUAACUACGUG
This 498-nucleotide ribosomal RNA is filed under the name uncultured bacterium. Its description in RNAcentral is "partial 16S ribosomal RNA". It matches the Rfam family "Bacterial small subunit ribosomal RNA", at positions 28 to 507 of the family's 1533-position model. The record is from RNAcentral.